RNAcentral lists this transfer RNA (69 nucleotides) under Ictidomys tridecemlineatus (thirteen-lined ground squirrel). RNAcentral's name for it is "Spermophilus tridecemlineatus (thirteen-lined ground squirrel) tRNA". It matches the Rfam family "tRNA". Rfam says of the family: Transfer RNA (tRNA) molecules are approximately 80 nucleotides in length. The record is from Rfam by way of RNAcentral. Lineage: Eukaryota; Metazoa; Chordata; Mammalia; Rodentia; Sciuridae. RNAcentral also lists the same sequence under 1 other name.
GGGGUUGUGGCUCAGUGGUAGAGCACUUGCCUGGCAUGUAUGAGGCUCUGGGUUCCAUCCUCAGUACCA